UUUUAAACGUAAAUAACCAGUCAUCCAUCACCAUUCUUUUACUACUGAGAAAAGAAAAUAUACAAAAGGGUGAAAUUUCCUUGAUCCAAACAAUCAUUAAUAACAUCAUGAACACAUUUGUUCAGAAGACAUUCAAAUAGAGGUCCCCCAAAUCCUGUUAUCAAGGGUUUUGGCCAUCCAUCUAUUAUGAUCUAUCCCAUUACCAGGAGAUGUGUUGGUUUGCUUGAAAAGAUACUAGCCACUCUCAAAUCUCUUCUCCACCACUACUACAACCCAUAUUUAAGAAAAAGGGGGAAAAAUAAAUUAAAAAAUCCAAAAGACCAAAGUUCAGACAAAGAACUUUGGCUAUUUAUCUGGGUUUUCUUGAGAAAGUAGCCCACCACCCCACCCCCCCAACUAAGUUUCCUUGAGAGAAAAGGUUUGAAAAAGACCAAACAAAGAAAAAGAAAAACAAUAAUCCAGAAGGAAAUGAAAUGGGAAAGAGAGAUAUAAUGGACAUAACAGAGUUUUCUUUCCCACCCUAAAAUCUAAAUUGACAUGAAAAGAUUCACACCUGAUACUUGGUUUGACCUUCAAAAGCUUAAGAACUCAUCAUCUUGCUAUUUUCUUUGUGUCUUUCUUGGUUCCUUGCCAAUGUAGAAAGGUGGGGGGU
RNAcentral lists this unclassified non-coding RNA (652 nucleotides) under Hevea brasiliensis (rubber tree). The record is from RNAcentral. Lineage: Eukaryota; Viridiplantae; Streptophyta; Magnoliopsida; Malpighiales; Euphorbiaceae.